This 120-nucleotide ribosomal RNA is filed under the name uncultured bacterium. RNAcentral's name for it is "partial 16S ribosomal RNA". It matches the Rfam family "Bacterial small subunit ribosomal RNA", at positions 28 to 142 of the family's 1533-position model. The record is from RNAcentral.
GAUGAACGCUAGCGGCAGGCCUAACACAUGCAAGUCGAGGGGCAGCGCGGUGUAGCAAUACACUGGCGGCGACCGGCGCACGGGUGAGUAACACGUAUGGAACCUGCCCUUUACUGGGGA